AAAACCCUACGGGAGGCAGCAGUAGGGAAUCUUCCACAAUGGACGAAAGUCUGAUGGAGCAACGCCGCGUGAGUGAAGAAGGGUUUCGGCUCGGAAAGCUCUGUUGGUAGUGAAAAAAGAUAGAGGUAGUAACUGGCCUUUAUUUGACGGUAAUUACUUAGAAAGUCACGGCUAACUACGUGCCAGCAGCCGCGGUAAUACGUAGGUGGCAAGCGUUGUCCGGGUUUAUUGGGCGUAAAGCGAGUGCAGGCGG
Molecule: ribosomal RNA, 253 nt
Filed under: uncultured bacterium
Lineage: Bacteria
Description: partial 16S ribosomal RNA
Rfam family: Bacterial small subunit ribosomal RNA
Source: RNAcentral